Triticum aestivum (bread wheat) is the source of this 135-nucleotide non-coding RNA. NCBI's taxonomy places the organism in Eukaryota, Viridiplantae, Streptophyta, Magnoliopsida, Poales, Poaceae. The record is from Rfam.
GUAGUAUUCCCUCCGUCCCAAAAUUCUUGUCUUACAUUUGUUUAGAUACAGAUGUAUCUAACACUAAAAUGUAACUAGAUACAUCCAUAUUUAGACAAAUUUAAGACAAGAAUUUUGGGACGAAGGGGGUACAAA